RNAcentral lists this ribosomal RNA (271 nucleotides) under uncultured bacterium. RNAcentral describes it as "partial 16S ribosomal RNA". It matches the Rfam family "Bacterial small subunit ribosomal RNA", at positions 524 to 794 of the family's 1533-position model. The record is from RNAcentral.
UACGGAGGGUGCAAGCGUUAAUCGGAAUUACUGGGCGUAAAGGGUGCGUAGGUGGUUUGAUAAGUUGUCUGUGAAAUUCCUGGGCUCAACCUGGGCAUGUCAGAUGAUACUGUUAGACUAGAGUAUAGGAGAGGGUAGUGGAAUUUCCGGUGUAGCGGUGAAAUGCGUAGAGAUCGGAAGGAACACCAGUGGCGAAGGCGGCUACCUGGCCUAAUACUGACACUGAGGCACGAAAGCGUGGGGAGCAAACAGGAUUAGAUACCCGGGUAGU